CAUGUUCGUGUUUAUACCAUCAGUGAUGUAAUGGCGAGAUUCAACAGAUUACGAGGGAAAGAGGUUAUACAUCCGAUGGGUUGGGAUGCAUUUGGUCUACCAGCAGAAAAUGCAGCAAUAGACAGAGAAAUAUAAGUAGUAUGAGGAAACAACUGGAUGAUCUUUUAUGCAGUUUUGAUUGGAACAGAGAAGUUACUACAUGUGAUCCCAACUAUUAUAAAUGGACACAGUUUAUUUUCUUGAAGA
Molecule: long non-coding RNA, 246 nt
Organism: Patella vulgata (common limpet)
Lineage: Eukaryota; Metazoa; Mollusca; Gastropoda; Patellidae
Exons: 4
Source: RefSeq, a predicted model, not a curated record